AACGAACGCUGGCGGCGUGCUUAACACAUGCAAGUCGAACGUGAAAGACUUCGGUCGAGUAAAGUGGCGAACGGGUGAGUAACGCGUGGGUAAUCUGCCCUCGGGCGGGGGAUAACCUCUCGAAAGGGGGGCUAAUACCGCAUGAGACCACGGCUUCUUGGAGCUGUGGGAAAAGGUGGGUCGCAAGACCAGCCACCUGAGGAUGAGCCCGCGUACCAUUAGGUAGUUGGUGGGGUAAUGGCCUACCGAGCCUGAGAUGGUUAGCUGGUCUGAGAGGACGAUCAGCCACACUGGGACUGAGACACGGCCCAGACUCCUACGGGAGGCAGCAGUGGGGAAUUUUGGACAAUGGGCGCAAGCCUGAUCCAGCCAUGCCGCGUGAGUGAAGAAGGCC
Molecule: ribosomal RNA, 394 nt
Filed under: uncultured bacterium
Lineage: Bacteria
Description: bacterial SSU rRNA
Rfam family: Bacterial small subunit ribosomal RNA
Source: RNAcentral